GACGAACGCUGGCGGCGUGCUUAACACAUGCAAGUCGAACGGAAAGGCCCUUCUUUCUGUGUACUCGAGUGUCGAACUGGUGUGUAACACGUGGGUGUUCUGCCCUUCACUUCUUGUUAAGCUUUGGAAACUGUUUCUAAUUCCGGAUAGGAACCUUCUUUAGUUUUGUGGUUGGUAAGUUUUUUCGGUGUUGGAUGAGCUCGCGUCCUAUCAGCUUGUUGGUGGGGUUAUGGCCUACCAAGGCGGCGACGGGUAGCCGGCCUGAGAGGGUGUACGGCCAAAAUGGGAAUGAGAGAAGGCCCAGACGCCGAAGGGAGGAAGCAGUGGGGAAUAUUGAAAAAUGGGCGCAAGCCUGAUGCAGCGAAGCCGAGGGGGGGAUGAAGGCCUUCGGGUUGUAAAAUACUUUCGCUAGGGAAGAAGCUUUUUGUGACGGUACCUAGAUAAGAAGCACCGGCUAACUACGUG
RNAcentral lists this ribosomal RNA (465 nucleotides) under uncultured bacterium. Its description in RNAcentral is "partial 16S ribosomal RNA". It matches the Rfam family "Bacterial small subunit ribosomal RNA", at positions 28 to 507 of the family's 1533-position model. The record is from RNAcentral.